AUUGAACGCUGGCGGCAGGCCUAACACAUGCAAGUCGAGCGGACGAAGGGAGCUUGCUCCUGGAUUCAGCGGCGGACGGGUGAGUAAUGCCUAGGAAUCUGCCUGGUAGUGGGGGAUAACGUCCGGAAACGGGCGCUAAUACCGCAUACGUCCUGAGGGAGAAAGUGGGGGAUCUUCGGACCUCACGCUAUCAGAUGAGCCUAGGUCGGAUUAGCUAGUUGGUGGGGUAAAGGCCUACCAAGGCGACGAUCCGUAACUGGUCUGAGAGGAUGAUCAGUCACACUGGAACUGAGACACGGUCCAGACUCCUACGGGAGGCAGCAGUGGGGAAUAUUGGACAAUGGGCGAAAGCCUGAUCCAGCCAUGCCGCGUGUGUGAAGAAGGUCUUCGGAUUGUAAAGCACUUUAAGUUGGGAGGAAGGGCAGUAAGUUAAUACCUUGCUGUUUUGACGUUACCAACAGAAUAAGCACCGGCUAACUUCGUA
RNAcentral lists this ribosomal RNA (484 nucleotides) under uncultured bacterium. RNAcentral's name for it is "partial 16S ribosomal RNA". It matches the Rfam family "Bacterial small subunit ribosomal RNA", at positions 30 to 507 of the family's 1533-position model. The record is from RNAcentral.